This 358-nucleotide long non-coding RNA is filed under the name Polistes fuscatus (common paper wasp). Its description in RNAcentral is "uncharacterized LOC122518947". The record is from RNAcentral. Lineage: Eukaryota; Metazoa; Arthropoda; Insecta; Hymenoptera; Vespidae.
AGGGUGAAGGGCAUUGGGCCUUGUGCACGUACGUGGGCAACGCAGGGGCUUCAGUUCGGAACUGUUUGCGAGGGAGACUGAUUGUACGUAGAUACAGCCCUGCGUUUGGUUUUGUUCUAAGAUGUAAGGUUAAGACUACUUCCUCUUAUUUCAUCGGACGGCCAGGACCACGUAUUACUCUUGCCACGUUUAUCUGAGUGCAAGGAUAAGACUGCUUCCCUGCUAUGUCGGGCGACCAGGACCACGAAUUACUUUGGCCACAUUUAUCUGAAGUUAAUUAACAAAGGUAGAAGUUUCAAGAGGGAAAAUCCUUGAAGAAAAAUUCCUGAAUAAAAUAUGUACGUAAGAAAAAGAAAAA